Long non-coding RNA from Astatotilapia calliptera (eastern happy), 1519 nucleotides. The record is from Ensembl. NCBI's taxonomy places the organism in Eukaryota, Metazoa, Chordata, Actinopteri, Cichliformes, Cichlidae.
ACAGUGAGUGUCUCACAAGAGGGUUCGGUCAGAAAUAUUUGAGGUGAGGCACCUCGGCACGCCGGGAGGAGGAGCCACAGCGCGAAUGGUGUGCUGAGCGCGUCUCCAUCACAGGGCCGUUGUUUCUGAACCAAACGAUUCAGAGAGGAUGACGUAUCAUUACUGACAAACGUGAUCAGGUCAUGUCAGUGGCAGUUGUGAAGCCACGGAGGGUUUUAUUUUUCCUGUUUUGCCUUUAGUUUGGAAAUUCUGGUUGUUUUAAAAUCAGUCACUGUAGUGAACAGUGUAGCGAUUUAAGGGUUUACCUUCAGUCAGCUUUGAGCACGAAUCAGAAACGCUGCAUUUACAGUAAAGUGAUGCCAACGUGUGGGCAAAGCUACGGCAGGUGGGCUGAGAGAAGGGACGCGCUGUUUGAAAAGUUGCAUCUUUGUUCAAACUUUAUAUGACUUUGCAUCUACAGACGGGACGUCCUUUGGGAUUACUUCCAAAAUCACACUUCUGCUAUUCUGAAUGAAUCUGAACUAAUGAAACAGCUUUGCAGUUCAAGCAUUUGUUACUCCCUGUUUUCUUCUCUUUUCUUGUUUGUUGCCUGAACUUGUCUCAUAUCUCUUCAUUAGUUGGAAAACAUUUAAUUUGGAAAUAAAUUCAACAACAAAGCCAUUAGACGAACGAGUCGGUGAAAAGGAAAUCCUUGCUUCUCUGCUCUGAUGGCCAUGUAUGAGCUGCCAGAGGUUGUAUUUAUUAACCAUGAAGUACACUGGUCCCUCGCUAUAACGCGGUUCGCCUUUUGCGGCCUCGCUGUUUACCAGAUUUUUUUUGUGCAACUUUGCUUUUUAUUUUUUAUUUUGUUUUGUUUUUCUUACAGCGCAUUGUGUUCUGCAUCCUGAUUGGCUGCAGACCACUGUCAAUCUCCUCCAUGCUGUGUCUCCUGUACAGUACAGCACGCGUUCAGCUUGUCAAAUUUACAUAAAUCUUCGAUCACUAGCAGUGUGACUCUGAAUUGCUGUGCUGUAUGUUUGUAAGUUUUCUCCCCAGCAAACACAACAAUGUCGAUGAAACAUUUUGCACCGUCAGAGGCUCCUGUGGUAGCACCCAAAGGCAGAGGAAGAUGCUAACUGUCGCACAGAAAGUUGGACUUCUGCUUAAUGCUAAAGGAAGUUAGAAGUUACCGUAUUUUUCGGACUAUAAGGCACAUUAAGCGAAACAAAACAGUCAAACUUUACUCAACUCAUUCUUCUUGCUUCCUCUACUUCCGUACCAUUGAUCCAUUGAUGUUGAAUUCUCUGACAGCUGCUCUACUCCCGUGUUCUGGACCUGAAAACAGGGUUUGAUCUUCGGUUUCAUUCUAUAAUACUCAACUUAUUUUUCUACAAAGGUCUGAACUUUGUGUUUAAACAAGAGAGAAAUGUGUGAAAGUGUGUAGUGAGGGGUUUUACAGCCUUAAAACAUCUAUAAUCAUUGUAAAACAUAAAGCUGCUACUUCACCUAUUGCGGGUUAUUUUUAGAACGUAACUCCUGC